CCUACGGGUGGCAGCAGUGAGGAAUAUUGGUCAAUGGGCGAUAGCCUGAACCAGCCAAGUAGCGUGAAGGAUGACUGCCCUAUGGGUUGUAAACUUCUUUUAUACGGGAAUAAAGUGCAGUACGUAUACUGCUUUGCAUGUACCUUAUGAAUAAGGACCGGCUAAUUCCGUGCCAGCAGCCGCGGUAAUACGGAGGUUCCGAGCGUUAUCCGGAUUUAUUGGGUUUAAAGGGAGCGUAGGCGGGUUGUUAAGCUUGUUGUGAAAGGUUGGGGCUCAACCGUGGAAUUGCAGUUGAUACUGGCGUGCUUGAGUACGGGAAAGGUAGGCGGAAUUCGUGGUGUAGCGGUGAAAUGCUUAGAUAUGACGAAGAACACCGAUUGCGAAGGCAGCCUGCUGGACUGUAACUGACGCUGAUGCUCGAAAGUGUGGGUAUCGAACAGGAUUAGAUACCCGAGUAGUC
This 460-nucleotide ribosomal RNA is filed under the name uncultured bacterium. Its description in RNAcentral is "partial 16S ribosomal RNA". It matches the Rfam family "Bacterial small subunit ribosomal RNA", at positions 338 to 795 of the family's 1533-position model. The record is from RNAcentral.